Small nuclear RNA from Ochotona curzoniae (black-lipped pika), 107 nucleotides. The record is from RefSeq and is a predicted model, not a curated record. Lineage: Eukaryota; Metazoa; Chordata; Mammalia; Lagomorpha; Ochotonidae.
GUGCUCAUUUCAGCAGCACAUAUACUAAAAUUGGAACAAUACAGAGAAGAUUAACAUGGCCCCUGCGCAAGGAUGAGCAUAAUAGUUGCUAGUAGUAUCCGUUUUAU